This is a long non-coding RNA of Gadus macrocephalus (Pacific cod), 1039 nucleotides long. RefSeq lists it as uncharacterized. The transcript is spliced from 2 exons. The record is from RefSeq and is a predicted model, not a curated record. Lineage: Eukaryota; Metazoa; Chordata; Actinopteri; Gadiformes; Gadidae.
CUCUGUCACCUGUGUCGUCUACAAAUUCUUCGAACCCGCUGUCGUCAAGAAUUAAUAGCCUCCAUCUGCUCUCAUCGUCAAUCUCGUCCACGCUGUAAAACCAAACACACUGGGUUUUGCAUGCGUCAAUGGAGUCUAAAGAACGACAGAGGUCCCAGAAAAAAGAGAGCUCAUCGGAAAGUCUGAAAACUGCUGUGAAUUCCAUCUCUGCAUCCAAUUAAGGCGCAGGUCAACGAAGGAGCUCGCGAUGGAAUUUCCACCCAGGAUUAUGUGCUCAUCCGACCUAUCUAUGCUAUAAAUUAUCUAUAGUCCUCUUAAGUCAUAUUAUGUUGCCAAGAGAUGGGUUACUUCGGCCACUUCUAAGAAACUGUAACAAAAACUGCACCUCCACGACAAAGAAUAAUUUAUUUACGUAGGCCUUAACACAGUAAACUUCAAGCUAUUUUCCAACGGUAUCUGCAUCAUUAUUUUAAAUGAUUAUGGUCAAUUUAUCUUCAUGUGAUGAUGUGGACGUUUUGUAGCAGAAUUUAAGUUAGGCUACCCUAUUUUGUUUCCAAAAUAAUGUAGUUAGGCCUAUCUGUAGUUGUGGCUUAUAUCUCUAUUUCGUGGUAAAACAGGAAUGACAAAGCCAUAAUCGUAUGGAUUAUAGGUCACUUUAUUUUAAGUAAAUGCGUAUUAUUCUUUUAUGACCGAAUAACUUGAAGGUUGAAACUUCACGGGCUAAAGAAUAGUCCUACCGCCUCUUCUAAAAAGGGGUCUAGCCUAGAGACGUCCAACAUUACAUUUGUUUAUGAGAGCCAAAUGAUGUAGGUAACGAACAUUUUACAAGGAACACAAUAACAAUAUCAUAGAUCUGGAAUAAAAAAUAAUGGAAAUUACUAUAAGGCAUAAUAAAUAACCUAACCUGAAUUAAAACAUACAGAUUUGCUAGCUGUAAUCACACACACACACACACACACACACACACACACACACACACACACACACACACACACACACACACACACACACACACACACACACACACACACACACACAC